CAUAUACUCCCUCCGUCCAACAAAAGAUGUCUCAAGUUUGUCAAAAUUUGGAUAUAUCUAAGGAUGACUUAGUAUAUAGAUGCAUUCAGAUUUAGUAAAAGUUGAGCAUCCUUUGUUGGAUGGAAAGAGUACUUA
Brachypodium distachyon (stiff brome) is the source of this 135-nucleotide non-coding RNA. The record is from Rfam. NCBI's taxonomy places the organism in Eukaryota, Viridiplantae, Streptophyta, Magnoliopsida, Poales, Poaceae.